Molecule: ribosomal RNA, 460 nt
Filed under: uncultured bacterium
Lineage: Bacteria
Description: partial 16S ribosomal RNA
Rfam family: Bacterial small subunit ribosomal RNA
Source: RNAcentral
CCUACGGGUGGCAGCAGUGAGGAAUAUUGGUCAAUGGACGAGAGUCUGAACCAGCCAAGUAGCGUGAAGGAUGACUGCCCUAUGGGUUGUAAACUUCUUUUAUAUGGGAAUAAAAUGUUCCACGUGUGGGAUUUUGUAUGUACCAUAUGAAUAAGGAUCGGCUAACUCCGUUCCAGCAGCCGCGGUAAUACGGAGGAUCCGAGCGUUAUCCGGAUUUAUUGGGGUUAAAGGGAGCGUAGGUGGAUUGUUAAGUCAGUUGUGAAAGUUUGCGGCUCAACCGUAAAAUUGCAGUUGAAACUGGCAGUCUUGAGUACAGUAGAGGUGGGGGGAAUUCGUGGUGUAGCGGUGAAAGGCUUAGAUAUCACGAAGAACUCCGAUUGCGAAGGCAGCUCACUGGACUGUAACUGACACUGAGGCUCGAAAGUGUGGGUAUCAAACAGGAUUAGAUACCCCAGUAGUC